AUACAACAUGUUCCGCUGCCCAAGACAGCUGGUACCGUAAGGUUUAAUCGUAUACACGGCCCGCCGAGGUGGUCAUAAAGAUGUCUUUAGCCGACCUCUGCUGUCACGUGCAGUAGAGGUCGUUUCUUUUUAAGGCU
Molecule: regulatory RNA element, 137 nt
Organism: Eggerthella sp. CAG:368
Lineage: Bacteria; Bacillati; Actinomycetota; Coriobacteriia; Eggerthellales; Eggerthellaceae
Rfam family: Ribosomal protein L10 leader
About the family: This family is a putative r-protein leader autoregulatory structure found in B. subtilis and other low-GC Gram-positive bacteria.
Source: Rfam